This 254-nucleotide ribosomal RNA is filed under the name uncultured bacterium. RNAcentral's name for it is "partial 16S ribosomal RNA". It matches the Rfam family "Bacterial small subunit ribosomal RNA", at positions 524 to 776 of the family's 1533-position model. The record is from RNAcentral.
UACAUGUGGGGCAAGCGUUGUUCGGAAUCACUGGGCAUAAAGGGUGCGUAGGCGGUGGUGCACGUCCUGGGUGAAAUCCUUCGGCCCAACCGGAGGUCUGCCUGGGAUACGGCAUUACUUGAGUGCGUGAGGGGUGACUGGAACGCGUGGUGUAGCGGUGAAAUGCGUAGAUAUCACGCGGAAGGCCAACGGCGAAGGCAGGUCACUGGCACGCAACUGACGCUGAGUGCACGAAAGCGUGGGGAGCAAACAGG